RNAcentral lists this non-coding RNA (21 nucleotides) under Sus scrofa (pig). RNAcentral also lists the same sequence under 1 other name. Lineage: Eukaryota; Metazoa; Chordata; Mammalia; Artiodactyla; Suidae. The record is from RNAcentral.
AGCUCGGUCUGAGGCCCCUCA